This 70-nucleotide non-coding RNA is filed under the name Pseudomonas aeruginosa. The record is from RNAcentral. Lineage: Bacteria; Pseudomonadati; Pseudomonadota; Gammaproteobacteria; Pseudomonadales; Pseudomonadaceae.
GAGCGAAACCGCCCGGCCUGGCCGGACGGUCUGCCGGACGUGGUGGUCCGGUACUGAUGAGCAGCCACCC